GCAAGUCGAACGGUAACAUAGCUAGCUUGCUAGCUGAUGACGAAUGGCGGACGGGUGAGUAAUGCAUAGGGAACUGCCAAGUAGAGGGGGACAACAUGUGGAAACGCAUGCUAAUACCGCAUACGCCCUACGGGGGAAAGAUGGCCUCUUCUUGAAAGCUAUCACUAUUUGAUGUACCUAUGUCUGAUUAGCUAGUUGGUGAGGUAAAGGCUCACCAAGGCGACGAUCAGUAGCUGGUCUGAGAGGAUGAUC
This 252-nucleotide ribosomal RNA is filed under the name uncultured bacterium. RNAcentral describes it as "partial 16S ribosomal RNA". It matches the Rfam family "Bacterial small subunit ribosomal RNA", at positions 57 to 305 of the family's 1533-position model. The record is from RNAcentral.